AUACAUCGGAACAUGUCCUGUAGUGGGGGAUAGCCCGGCGAAAGCCGGAUUAAUACCGCAUACGAUCUGAGGAUGAAAGCGGGGGACCUUCGGGCCUCGCGCUAUAGGGUUGGCCGAUGGCUGAUUAGCUAGUUGGUGGGGUAAAGGCCUACCAAGGCGACGAUCAGUAGCUGGUCUGAGAGGACGACCAGCCACACUGGGACUGAGACACGGCCCAGACUCCUACGGGAGGCAGCAGUGGGGAAUUUUGGACAAUGGGCGAAAGCCUGAUCCAGCAAUGCCGCGUGUGUGAAGAAGGCCUUCGGGUUGUAAAGCACUUUUGUCCGGAAAGAAAUCCUUGGUUCUAAUAUAGCCGGGGGAUGACGGUACCGGAAGAAUAAGCACCGGCUAACUACGUGCCAGCAGCCGCGGUAAUACGUAGGGUGCAAGCGUUAAUCGGAAUUACUGGGCGUAAAGCGUGCGCAGGCGGUUUGCUAAGACCGAUGUGAAAUCCCCGGGCUCAACCUGGGAACUGCAUUGGUGACUGGCANGCUAGAGUAUGGCAGANGGGGGUAGAAUUCCACGUGUAGCAGUGAAAUGCGUANAGAUGUGGAGGAAUACCGAUGGNGAA
This 610-nucleotide ribosomal RNA is filed under the name uncultured Burkholderia sp. RNAcentral describes it as "bacterial SSU rRNA". It matches the Rfam family "Bacterial small subunit ribosomal RNA", at positions 113 to 719 of the family's 1533-position model. The record is from RNAcentral. Lineage: Bacteria; Pseudomonadati; Pseudomonadota; Betaproteobacteria; Burkholderiales; Burkholderiaceae.